Molecule: non-coding RNA, 2043 nt
Organism: Meleagris gallopavo (turkey)
Lineage: Eukaryota; Metazoa; Chordata; Aves; Galliformes; Phasianidae
Source: RefSeq, a predicted model, not a curated record
GAGGAAUGCGCGCUCUGAGGGCUGCUGGCAGUGGCAGCCAUUUUGUGACUCCAGUGUGGCUUUGGUGCCAUGAAGUGUUUAGCUGAGGUAGCUUGGUCACCACCGCGGCCAUCUUGCAGGAUUUAGUCAAAUUACAGAAGUUUUAAAGGUGUUAUACGUACCAACAAUUCUACACAUGAAGUCAUGAGACACAAUGAUCACUGUCUUCCUACUUUUCCUGUGAACCUCAUCUAAAGGACACAAUGAGAAGUGUAGCUCACAGCCAGGAUGCCUUUGACUUCCUCAGCCACCACUUCAUAUCAGAAAAUCUUAAGAAUCAGGAAAAGUUUGCUCACUACUCAGUCUGCUUGACAUCUAAAGGAUGUGAUAUGGGACAGUUACAAAUGAACCUUUGGCUUAAGCAGAGACAUCAGGCAGAGUGAGAAGGACCAUCUGUCAUGUCCCCACUCUCACUGUACUGAAGAAGGCAGUCGCUGAAGGCAGUACUUCAGCUAUCAACCAACUCCCAGGCCUCUGAGCUCCUCAUAAGAAACUCUGAACUGCUGGUGUGUUGAGGUAAGUUAGUAUUACUCUCACAAUCACAUUCAGCUGCCAUUGAAAACUGUAUUUUCAGGUAAAUCUGAGAUUUUGAAAAAUAAACAAGAAGUUAAACAAAAGUCUUCCUUCUUGCUGACAUGUAAGAAUGGACAAAUUCCAUUUCAGUUGCUCUCGGAAGGGUUUUGAUUGCCUUUUGUAUAGCUCACUUUGACUCACUUUUUUCUUUUUCUCACAAAUCCAUGUUUUCACAUAGACAACACUAUAAACCAUAGUCAUAUUGGUAACAUUACCCCAAAGACCCAUUUAUAUUUACUUAAUUUUAACAGAAUAUCUAUGAAUGAGAUCACUCAUUUCAGUGAAUAUUAUUUAUCCAUUCACAAACAGAAUCUUGUAUUAAUCAUGCUUGUACCUGGUUUUACAGUUUUUUUGACUAAUUUUUUUCAAUUCUUAGAAGUUUCUUAAAGUUAAGAUAUAUGUAAUUGAUAUCUUUUAAUUCUGCUAAUUGAGACUAACAAACACAAAACUUUAUUAAUUAUCUAAUAUCACAUGGACUGCAUCAGACCUUUUAUGGUCUACUGUCAUAUACUCAUCAUUCAGCCAAAACUAUUAAAAUGAGGGAUACCUUUUUAAUGCUAUUAACCUGAACAUAAUGCCAAGACCUUGUGGAUGAAAAUGACAACAAAAAAGCUUUAAACAAAUAGAAGGAACCAAAAACACAAAUUUUCUUGCUACUGACAUAAAAGUCCACAAACUGUAGGUAAUGAGAUAGGAAGAAUGAGUAGAAAUACGAUUACACAGGAGAUGGGAGAACAAACGUGUGAAGGAUUUCCCAGCCAGUUUCUUGUAAAUCACACCUCAAAAGAUCCAAGGAUUUGUCAGCACUUACUUUAUGUCAGUAGCAAACUUUGUGGAAAUAACAGUGUUCUAAUUCAGCACAGAAAAAUCAUCCAUUUGUUAUGUUGACAUCCCUUGGAUAACACAGCUGCUUGAUUACCUAUGCCAUCUUUUCCCCAGCUUCUUAGUAGAAAACUAUUAAAGCAAUAACAGUCUCUGACAUACACAGUUCUUGAGUGUGUUCGGUGUGUGAAUCAUAACGCAUCUGAACAAUACUCCCAGCUGGUGCAAAUGUACGGACAAGCACUGUCCUGUAGUAGCUGACCUGUUCAGCUUUAUGCUUUAGAAGACUGCUGCUGCUGCUUUUGUCUUCUCUAUUUGCAUUUCUCAUGUUUCAAGGAAAUAUAUUCACGUCUCAGAAAUUCAUUAAUAACUUAUGUUAGCAUCUUAAACUGAGCUAACUGUUGACAAUAUACUCUAUGCUAAAAUUUCUCAAGCAUCUCUUUAUGUGCAUUAUUUCAGUAGGGUUUUUGUUGUUGCUGUUGUUUUGUUUUUUGUUUUUUUAAAACAAGUUUUACAUUAUAAUCUGAUCCUCUUCUUGGAAGACAAGAUGUUUUUUAAAAAGAGCUUAUUCAGCAGGUCAGCUAUUCUAGAAGUUCAUCCAUUCUUCAU